CACCGUUAAAUUCACAAACGCAUCACAUCUACUAUUAAAAUUGUCAAUUUUGAGACCUUUUGAUCACUAGUCAAAUGAUGCUGAAAAAUACUUAACUCUAGUUAAGUAUAUCUCUGUCUUCAAAUAUAUCUCUGUCUUUAGGAUCGGUUAGAAAAAAUUAGUUAACCAUAGAUAAAAUACUUAACUCUAGUUAGUUAAUGAGAUGAAUUGACCAAUUUAUCCCUCUUUAAUUAAUAGUUGGAGUUUUUGAAGAGACAUAUUUGUGAUGGCAAAAAGAUUAUUUCACUUAUAAAACAAACAGAGGGAUAUAUUUGAAAACAUUAAGACUUUUACGGAAACAACAUAUGAAAGUUGAAUUUUGUAGAAAUAUAUAUGUAAUUCACUAUGUUUGCAGGAAUCAAUAUGAAAUUAAUUUUUUUUAGAGAAAAAUAACAUGCUAUCCGUGUCGUUUAUUUUUUUAAAAAAAAAUAAAAUAUCAACUAUUAAAUUUUUUGUCAUUUGUGCCGAUCGUUUCCUAGAUAUUUUUAUUAAGCUUUAAUAAAGACUUUUCCACAUGUUCGUACCGCCUCUUGGUGAGGAAAAAUUCUAGAAUGCAACGGGUAUAUUAGUGACGUGGCGUAACAAACCAAUCAAAUUAAUCCUUUUAAGAAUAUAUGUCCCAUCAUGAUUGUAAAAAAGUAUUUUUAUUGUACUUUUGUUUAAAAAGAAGGAAUGUAAUUGACUUGUUAUUGAUGACGUGGUGCAAGUGUGACAGUGUAGAAUUCCUCCUUGGUGAGCAGCGU
RNAcentral lists this long non-coding RNA (782 nucleotides) under Ananas comosus (pineapple). RNAcentral describes it as "long non-coding RNA (ACOM_LNC003961)". Lineage: Eukaryota; Viridiplantae; Streptophyta; Magnoliopsida; Poales; Bromeliaceae. The record is from RNAcentral.